Molecule: long non-coding RNA, 851 nt
Filed under: Lynx pardinus (Iberian lynx)
Lineage: Eukaryota; Metazoa; Chordata; Mammalia; Carnivora; Felidae
Source: RNAcentral
AGCCGCGGACGCCAGACACUGCCCACCACACGUCCCUCACGGCCACCUGAACGUAAGGCAGGGCAGGGUGACUUCCUGGGUUUACAAGAGGCGCAGUCACCCGGCUCAAGGCGGGGCACACGCUCUGCGCCCCAGGCCGGGCGCCUCCCACCGGCCCCAGCAGGGCUCCCGAGGCUCAGUUGUGCAAGGGGAGCUCCGGAAACCGCGUGGCCUCGCCCUCCCGCGGUGACCUCGCAGCUGGGGGCCCGGCCCCGCCCCGCCCGGGCCACCAACGGGGACGACGCGCGUCCUCACCGUGGAGGGGGGGGGAGGGAAGAGGAGGGAGGGGGGGGGAGGCUGGGCGGGAGCUCCGGAGCCACCCCCGCCCCAUUUCUCUUUUCCAGAAACGUAUUUUUUUUUAAGGUUUUGUUUUUAGAAUAGCGCCCCGCUCGUUAUGAGACACUCGUGUCACACUCAAGACUACAAACAGAAAAUGCUCCAGUGGACACCAGCGCCCCCAGAAUUCUCGGCGGCGACCUCUUUCUCCGUCCAUUUUCAGAGAGAAGGACAGAUGGACGGAUGGAAAUCUUUCCCAGAAAAGGGCUCCUGCAAUGAUACACGCUCUUCGGGGGGGAAAAGCACUUAAAUUCAACAGAACAAAAGGAAGCCUGGAUGUAACUGAAGACAUUGCCCAACUGCAAAUGAUUGUGCUUCUUAUGUUUCUCAAUUAUUUCCCUAAAAGGAAAGAAAAAUACCAAGAGGCUGGAUUCAUUCUUUAAACAUGUUUCCACUGUAGAUGGCAUCUCUUGACAGCCGGUGAUUUGGGACGAGGAAAUGAGCUCACCCACUUCCUAUCCCCUUCCCCUCCCAGA